Felis catus (domestic cat) is the source of this 180-nucleotide small nucleolar RNA. It matches the Rfam family "Small nucleolar RNA SNORA81". The record is from Rfam. Lineage: Eukaryota; Metazoa; Chordata; Mammalia; Carnivora; Felidae.
ACCUUCUUACUUAAGCUCUGUACUAAAAUUACAGAAAGUAGUAACCGUGUUUUAGUAUUUAUAAAUAAAGCAGCAGAGUAAACAAAAGAAGAGAAACAACUAUACCAGAUAAUAGAAAAACUGAGCUGAAUCUCUUUCAUAAGUCCAGGAUACUUUGUUCUAAAAUUUGGUACAAUAAUA